CCUACGGGAGGCAGCAGUGAGGAAUAUUGGUCAAUGGACGAGAGUCUGAACCAGCCAAGUAGCGUGAAGGAUGACUGCCCUAUGGGUUGUAAACUUCUUUUAUAAAGGAAUAAAACGAGGCACGUGUGCCUUUUUGCAUGUACUUUAUGAAUAAGGAUCGGCUAACUCCGUGCCAGCAGCCGCGGUAAUACGGAGGAUCCGAGCGUUAUCCGGAUUUAUUGGGUUUAAAGGGAGCGUAGAUGGGUUGUUAAGUCAGCUGUGAAAGUUUGCGGCUCAACCGUAAAAUUGCAGUUGAUACUGGCAGGCUGGAGUACAGGUGAGGUAAGCGGAAUUCGUGGUGUAGCGGUGAAAUGCUUAGAUAUCACGAAGAACCCCGAUUGCGAAGGCAGCUUACUAAACUGUGACUGACAUUGAUGCUCGAAAGUGUGGGUAUCAAACAGGAUUAGAUACCCGAGUAGUC
This 460-nucleotide ribosomal RNA is filed under the name uncultured bacterium. Its description in RNAcentral is "partial 16S ribosomal RNA". It matches the Rfam family "Bacterial small subunit ribosomal RNA", at positions 338 to 795 of the family's 1533-position model. The record is from RNAcentral.